UACGGAGUUACAAAGGACGACAUUAGACGAAUCAUCUGGAAAGAUGAAUCAAAGAAGGUAAUAAUCCUGUAGUCGAAAAUGUUGUCUCUCUUGAGUGGAUCCUGAGUACGACGGAGCACGUGAAAUUCCGUCGGAAUCUGGGAGGACCAUCUCCUAAGGCUAAAUACUCUCUAGUGACCGAUAGUGAACCAGUACCGUGAGGGAAAGGUGAAAAGCACCCCGGAAGGAGAGUGAAAUAGAACCUGAAACCGUGUGCUUACAAGUAGUCAGAGCCCGUUAAUGGGUGAUGGCGUGCCUUUUGUAGAAUGAACCGGCGAGUUACGAUUUGAUGCAAGGUUAAGCAGUAAAUGUGGAGCCGUAGCGAAAGCGAGUCUGAAUAGGGCGUUUAGUAUUUGGUCGUAGACCCGAAACCAGGUGAUCUACCCUUGGUCAGGUUGAAGUUCAGGUAACACUGAAUGGAGGACCGAACCGACUUACGUUGAAAAGUGAGCGGAUGAACUGAGGGUAGCGGAGAAAUUCCAAUCGAACCUGGAGAUAGCUGGUUCUCUCCGAAAUAGCUUUAGGGCUAGCCUCAAGUGAUGAUUAUUGGAGGUAGAGCACUGUUUGGACGAGGGGCCCCUCUCGGGUUACCGAAUUCAGACAAACUCCGAAUGCCAAUUAAUUUAACUUGGGAGUCAGAACAUGGGUGAUAAGGUCCGUGUUCGAAAGGGAAACAGCCCAGACCACCAGCUAAGGUCCCAAAAUAUAUGUUAAGUGGAAAAGGAUGUGGCGUUGCCCAGACAACUAGGAUGUUGGCUUAGAAGCAGCCAUCAUUUAAAGAGUGCGUAAUAGCUCACUAGUCGAGUGACACUGCGCCGAAAAUGUACCGGGGCUAAACAUAUUACCGAAGCUGUGGAUUGUCCUUUGGACAAUGGUAGGAGAGCGUUCUAAGGGCGUUGAAGCAUGAUCGUAAGGACAUGUGGAGCGCUUAGAAGUGAGAAUGCCGGUGUGAGUAGCGAAAGACGGGUGAGAAUCCCGUCCACCGAUUGACUAAGGUUUCCAGAGGAAGGCUCGUCCGCUCUGGGUUAGUCGGGUCCUAAGCUGAGGCCGACAGGCGUAGGCGAUGGAUAACAGGUUGAUAUUCCUGUACCACCUAUAAUCGUUUUAAUCGAUGGGGGGACGCAGUAGGAUAGGCGAAGCGUGCGAUUGGAUUGCACGUCUAAGCAGUAAGGCUGAGUAUUAGGCAAAUCCGGUACUCGUUAAGGCUGAGCUGUGAUGGGGAGAAGACAUUGAGUCUUCGAGUCGUUGAUUUCACACUGCCGAGAAAAGCCUCUAGAUAGAAAAUAGGUGCCCGUACCGCAAACCGACACAGGUAGUCAAGAUGAGAAUUCUAAGGUGAGCGAGCGAACUCUCGUUAAGGAACUCGGCAAAAUGACCCCGUAACUUCGGGAGAAGGGGUGCUCUUUAGGGUUAACGCCCAGAAGAGCCGCAGUGAAUAGGCCCAAGCGACUGUUUAUCAAAAACACAGGUCUCUGCUAAACCGUAAGGUGAUGUAUAGGGGCUGACGCCUGCCCGGUGCUGGAAGGUUAAGAGGAGUGGUUAGCUUCUGCGAAGCUACGAAUCGAAGCCCCAGUAAACGGCGGCCGUAACUAUAACGGUCCUAAGGUAGCGAAAUUCCUUGUCGGGUAAGUUCCGACCCGCACGAAAGGCGUAACGAUUUGGGCACUGUCUCAACGAGAGACUCGGUGAAAUCAUAGUACCUGUGAAGAUGCAGGUUACCCGCGACAGGACGGAAAGACCCCGUGGAGCUUUACUGUAGCCUGAUAUUGAAAUUCGGCACAGCUUGUACAGGAUAGGUAGGAGCCUUUGAAACGUGAGCGCUAGCUUACGUGGAGGCGCUGGUGGGAUACUACCCUAGCUGUGUUGGCUUUCUAACCCGCACCACUUAUCGUGGUGGGAGACAGUGUCAGGCGGGCAGUUUGACUGGGGCGGUCGCCUCCUAAAAGGUAACGGAGGCGCUCAAAGGUUCCCUCAGAAUGGUUGGAAAUCAUUCAUAGAGUGUAAAGGCAUAAGGGAGCUUGACUGCGAGACCUACAAGUCGAGCAGGGUCGAAAGACGGACUUAGUGAUCCGGUGGUUCCGCAUGGAAGGGCCAUCGCUCAACGGAUAAAAGCUACCCCGGGGAUAACAGGCUUAUCUCCCCCAAGAGUUCACAUCGACGGGGAGGUUUGGCACCUCGAUGUCGGCUCAUCGCAUCCUGGGGCUGUAGUCGGUCCCAAGGGUUGGGCUGUUCGCCCAUUAAAGCGAUACGCGAGCUGGGUUCAGAACGUCGUGAGACAGUUCGGUCCCUAUCCGUCGUGGGCGUAGGAAAUUUGAGAGGAGCUGUCCUUAGUACGAGAGGACCGGGAUGGACAUACCUCUGGUGUACCAGUUGUCGUGCCAACGGCAUAGCUGGGUAGCUAUGUGUGGACGGGAUAAGUGCUGAAAGCAUCUAAGCAUGAAGCCCCCCUCAAGAUGAGAUUUCCCAACUUCGGUUAUAAGAUCCCUCAAAGAUGAUGAGGUUAAUAGGUUCGAGGUGGAAGCAUGGUGACAUGUGGAGCUGACGAAUACUAAUCGAUCGAAGACUUAAUCAA
Molecule: ribosomal RNA, 2611 nt
Filed under: Staphylococcus aureus DAR3596
Lineage: Bacteria; Bacillati; Bacillota; Bacilli; Caryophanales; Staphylococcaceae
Description: bacterial LSU rRNA
Rfam family: Bacterial large subunit ribosomal RNA
Source: RNAcentral